Molecule: ribosomal RNA, 434 nt
Filed under: uncultured bacterium
Lineage: Bacteria
Description: partial 16S ribosomal RNA
Rfam family: Bacterial small subunit ribosomal RNA
Source: RNAcentral
AGCGAACGCUGGCGGCAGGCCUAACACAUGCAAGUCGAACGAACCUUUCGGGGUUAGUGGCGGACGGGUGAGUAACACGUGGGAACGUGCCUUUAGGUUCGGAAUAACUCAGGGAAACUUGUGCUAAUACCGAAUGUGCCCUUCGGGGGAAAGAUUUAUCGCCUUUAGAGCGGCCCGCGUCGGAUUAGCUAGUUGGUUGAGGUAAUGGCUCACCAAGGCGACGAUCAGUAGCUGGUCUGAGAGGAUGAUCAGCCACAUUGGGACUGAGACACGGCCCAAACUCCUACGGGAGGCAGCAGUGGGGAAUCUUGCGCAAUGGGCGAAAGCCUGACGCAGCCAUGCCGCGUGAAUGAUGAAGGUCUUAGGAUUGUAAAAUUCUUUCACCGGGGACGAUAAUGACGGUACCCGGAGAAGAAGCCCCGGCUAACUUCGUG